GAUGAACGCUGGCGGCGUGCUUAACACAUGCAAGUCGAACGAUGAAGCCCAGCUUGCUGGGUGGAUUAGUGGCGAACGGGUGAGUAACACGUGAGUAACCUGCCCUUAACUCUGGGAUAAGCCUGGGAAACUGGGUCUAAUACCGGAUAGGAGCGUCCACCGCAUGGUGGGUGUUGGAAAGAUUUAUCGGUUUUGGAUGGACUCGCGGCCUAUCAGCUUGUUGGUGAGGUAAUGGCUCACCAAGGCGACGACGGGUAGCCGGCCUGAGAGGGUGACCGGCCACACUGGGACUGAGACACGGCCCAGACUCCUACGGGAGGCAGCAGUGGGGAAUAUUGCACAAUGGGCGCAAGCCUGAUGCAGCGACGCCGCGUGAGGGAUGACGGCCUUCGGUUUGUAAACCUCUUUCAGUAGGGAAGAAGCGAAAGUGACGGUACCUGCAGAAGAAGCACCGGCUAACUACGUG
RNAcentral lists this ribosomal RNA (466 nucleotides) under uncultured bacterium. Its description in RNAcentral is "partial 16S ribosomal RNA". It matches the Rfam family "Bacterial small subunit ribosomal RNA", at positions 28 to 507 of the family's 1533-position model. The record is from RNAcentral.